AGAGUUUGAUCCUGGCUCAGGAUGAACGCUAGCGGCAGGCCUAAUACAUGCAAGUCGAACGGUGAUAGCAAUAUCAUAGUGGCGCACGGGUGCGUAACACGUAUGCAACCUACCUUAUACUGAGGGAUAGCCUUUCGAAAGGGAGAUUAAUACCUCAUAACACAUUGAACUGGCAUCAGUUUAUUGUUAAAGAUUUAUUGGUAUAAGAUGGGCAUGCGUCCAAUUAGUUAGUUGGCGAGGUAACGGCUCACCAAGACGAUGAUUGGUAGGGGAACUGAGAGGUUAAUCCCCCACACUGGCACUGAGAUACGGGCCAGACUCCUACGGGAGGCAGCAGUAGGGAAUAUUGGGCAAUGGAGGCAACUCCGACCCAGCCAUGCCGCGUGCAGGAAGAAGGCGUUAUGCGUUGUAAACUGCUUUUAUAUAGGAAGAAAUAGACCUUGCGAGGUAAGUUGACGGUACUAUAUGAAUAAGCACCGGCUAACUCCGUGCCAGCAGCCGCGGUAAUACGGAGGGUGCAAGCGUUGUCCGGAUUUAUUGGGUUUAAAGGGUGCGUAGGCGGUUUAUUAAGUCAGUGGUGAAAGACGGUCGCUCAACGAUUGCAGUGCCAUUGAUACUGGUAGACUUGAGUGGGAUUGAGGUAGCUGGAAUGGAUAGUGUA
RNAcentral lists this ribosomal RNA (661 nucleotides) under uncultured bacterium. RNAcentral describes it as "bacterial SSU rRNA". It matches the Rfam family "Bacterial small subunit ribosomal RNA", at positions 8 to 677 of the family's 1533-position model. The record is from RNAcentral.